CUCGGCUUCCACCUUGUGUCGCGGUAGGCGCAGAGCUCGUUGCCAUAGCCAAUCGGAAGCCAGGUGAUAUCGCCGCAGCCAAUUAGGAACGCAGGGCUCGCUCUCUGGGUUGCCGAGUGGGUAGCGACUUUGCAGUUGGCGCCUCAGUUCCUCUCGGCUGCUCCUAGUGAAUCCGUCUCCAUCACGUCUUUGUGAGGCUGGUAGAGGGAAUGAGAAGCCGCGAGGCAGAACCAAAAAUGAAGGCGAAUCCACUGCAGGCCGGUGGAUCUCUGCACAUGGUUUCUAGAACUGUUGAGGGUACGGCGAGAGGGGGACUGCUGGUGAUGGGGAGGACACGUAGUCGCGUGUGGCAGCAUGAGAUUCCAGAGGAGCUUGGAUGAGGAGCUGCCGAGUCUUAUUUCAGUGGUGGUUCCUUUUCCGAAAGUCAUUUUGACACCAUGAGGGAAGCCAGUGAGGAAUUAUACUCUUGGAAAUAUCUGGACAAGUUACACAGAUCUUGGAAGGAAUAAAACUGAAAGGUAUUUUUCUUAGGAAGUGUCAUCCGUCCAAUUUCUUUGAUCAAGAAUUUGAAUAUCUAUAGUAAGAUACAGGUAGUCCUUGAGUUGCAGUUUUCCAACAUGUGAUUAUUGAAGACCAACCUGUAAAUAAUGCUAUUGCCUACUUGCGCAGAUUAAUUUCAUGACAAUUUAUAAAAAUGGAUUAUCAAGAAAAUAACCAAAUAACAGGACAGCAAACAAAUAAAAAUGAUACUGCCAGUGAAAUUGGAUGAUGACUACAAAGCAAACCUAGGUCAAACCUAGGCUUGUAUCAAGCUAUGGUUAUGAUGCUUUUUAAAAAAAAAAUAAAAUUGCUUCAACAUCUUGUUCCUUUUCUUUUAUUAAAUAGUAUAGGUAACAUCAGCAUUGGUAGUUUAAAUUGUUCUAGUAAUAAAGCUACCUAUGGUUGGAAUGAAA
Molecule: long non-coding RNA, 953 nt
Organism: Perognathus longimembris pacificus (Pacific pocket mouse)
Lineage: Eukaryota; Metazoa; Chordata; Mammalia; Rodentia; Heteromyidae
Exons: 5
Source: RefSeq, a predicted model, not a curated record